Molecule: unclassified non-coding RNA, 335 nt
Organism: Cavia aperea (Brazilian guinea pig)
Lineage: Eukaryota; Metazoa; Chordata; Mammalia; Rodentia; Caviidae
Gene: 7SK
Rfam family: 7SK RNA
About the family: 7SK was discovered as an abundant small nuclear RNA in the mid-70s but a possible function has only recently been suggested. Two independent studies have found that 7SK RNA binds the CDK9/cyclin T complex (known as elongation factor P-TEFb).
Source: Ensembl
GGGUGUGAGGGCGAUCUAGCUGCGACAUCUGUCACCCCAUUGAUCGCCAGGGUUAGUUCAGCUGAUCUGGCUGGCUAGGCGGGGGUCCCCUUCCUCCCUCAAGGAUCCAUGUGCGUCCCUCCAAAAGCUGCGCGCUUGGUCAAAGAGGACGACCAUGACCACCCAGAUAGAGGAGGACCGUUCCUCGGUCAAGGGUAUACGAGCAGCUGUGCUCCCCUGCUAGAACCUCGAAACAAGCAGUCCGGGCCCCUUUGUAGGAGAACAUAGGGUAGUCAAGCUUCCAAGACUCCAGAUGCAUCCAAAUGAGGCACUGCAUGGGCAGUCUGCCUUUCUUA